GACGAACGCUGGCGGCGUGCUUAACACAUGCAAGUCGAACGGAAAGGCGCUGCUUUUGCGGGGUGCUCGAGUGGCGAACGGGUGAGUAACACGUGAGUAACCUGCCCUUGAGUUUGGGAUAACUUCAGGAAAAUGGGGAUAAUACAGGAUAGGAGCUCCGGCUGCAUGGUGGGGGUUGGAAAGUUUCGGCGGUUGGGGAUGGACUCGCGGCUUAUCAGCUUGUUGGUGGGGUAGUGGCUUACCCAGGCAUUGACGGGUAGCCGGCCUGGGAGGGUGACCGGCCACAUUGGGACUGCGGUACGGCCCAGACUCCUACGGGAGGCAGCAGUGGGAAAUAUUGCACAAUGGGCGGAAGCCUGAUGCAGCAACGCCGCGUGCGGAAUGACGGCCUUCGGGUUGUAAACCGCUUUCGCCUGUGACGAAGCGUGAGUGACGGUAAUGGGUAAAGAAGCACCGGCUAACUACGUG
RNAcentral lists this ribosomal RNA (468 nucleotides) under uncultured bacterium. RNAcentral's name for it is "partial 16S ribosomal RNA". It matches the Rfam family "Bacterial small subunit ribosomal RNA", at positions 28 to 507 of the family's 1533-position model. The record is from RNAcentral.